This 740-nucleotide ribosomal RNA is filed under the name uncultured marine bacterium. Its description in RNAcentral is "bacterial SSU rRNA". It matches the Rfam family "Bacterial small subunit ribosomal RNA", at positions 9 to 795 of the family's 1533-position model. The record is from RNAcentral.
GAGUUUGAUCCUGGCUCAGAACGAACGCUGGCGGCAGGCCUAACACAUGCAAGUCGAGCGCGCCUUUCGGGGUGAGCGGCGGACGGGUUAGUAGCGCGUGGGAAUAUGCCCAAAGGUACGGAAUAGCCUCUGGAAACGGAGAGUAAUACCGUAUGUGCCCUUCGGGGGAAAGAUUUAUCGCCUUUGGAUUAGCCCGCGUUAGAUUAGGUAGUUGGUGGGGUAAUGGCCUACCAAGCCUACGAUCUAUAGCUGGUUUUAGAGGAUGAUCAGCAACACUGGGACUGAGACACGGCCCAGACUCCUACGGGAGGCAGCAGUGGGGAAUCUUGGACAAUGGGGGCAACCCUGAUCCAGCCAUGCCGCGUGAGUGAUGAAGGCCUUAGGGUCGUAAAGCUCUUUCGCCUGUGAAGAUAAUGACGGUAGCAGGUAAAGAAACCCCGGCUAACUCCGUGCCAGCAGCCGCGGUAAUACGGAGGGGGUUAGCGUUGUUCGGAAUUACUGGGCGUAAAGCGCACGUAGGCGGACCAGAAAGUUGGGGGUGAAAUCCCGGGGCUCAACCCCGGAACUGCCUCCAAAACUAUUGGUCUAGAGUUCGAGAGAGGUGAGUGGAAUUCCAAGUGUAGAGGUGAAAUUCGUAGAUAUUUGGAGGAACACCAGUGGCGAAGGCGGCUCACUGGCUCGAUACUGACGCUGAGGUGCGAAAGUGUGGGGAGCAAACAGGAUUAGAUACCCUGGUAGUC